CCGUCAAUUCCUUUGAGUUUCACCGUUGCCGGCGUACUCCCCAGGUGGAGGACUUAACGGUUUCCCUAAGCCGCUGACCCUUGACAGGCCAACAGCGAGUCCUCAUCGUUUACGGCAUGGACUACCAGGGUAUCUAAUCCUGUUUGCUCCCCAUGCUUUCGUGCCUCAGUGUCAAAUCAAACGUAGCCACCUGCCUUCGCAAUCGGUGUUCUGGAUGAUAUCUAUGCAUUUCACCGCUACACCAUCCAUUCCGGCAGCCUCCACUUGUUUCAAGCUUAACAGUAUCAAUGGCACCUCAACCGUUGAGCGGCUGUAUUUCACCACUGACUUAUUAAGCCACCUACGCACCCUUUAAACCCAAUAAAUCCGGACAACGCUCGCACCCUCCGUAUUACCGCGGCUGCUGGCACGGAGUUAGCCGGUGCUUAUUCAUUCGGUACCGUCACAUAAGGACGCAUCCCUACUCUUCUUCCCGAAUAAAAGCCGUUUACAACCCUGAGGGCCUUCAUCCGGCACGCGGCAUGGCUGGGUCAGACUUGCAUCCAUUGCCCAAUAUUCCCUACUGCUGCCUCCCGUAGGAGUCGGGCCCGUAUCUCAGUGCCCGUGUGGGGGAUCAACCUCUCAGCUCCCCUAUCGAUCGUCGCCUUGGUAGGCCGUUACCCUCCCAACUAGCUAAUCGAACGCAUGCCCAUCUACCACCGAUAAAUCUUUAACAAAUAGUACCCAUGCGGGACCCCUGUGUUAUGCGGUAUUAAUCCGGGUUUCCCCGGGCUAUCCCCCAGUGAUAGGUAGGUUGCAUACGCGUUACGCACCCGUACGACGGUGACAUUGCUGCCCCCUCGCCUUGCAUGUAUUAAGCCUGCCGCUAGCGUUCAUCCUGAGCCAUGAUCAAACUCUA
RNAcentral lists this ribosomal RNA (898 nucleotides) under uncultured bacterium. RNAcentral describes it as "partial 16S ribosomal RNA". The record is from RNAcentral.